This 468-nucleotide ribosomal RNA is filed under the name uncultured bacterium. RNAcentral describes it as "partial 16S ribosomal RNA". It matches the Rfam family "Bacterial small subunit ribosomal RNA", at positions 28 to 507 of the family's 1533-position model. The record is from RNAcentral.
GACGAACGCUGGCGGCGUGCUUAACACAUGCAAGUCGAACGGAAAGGCCCUGCUUUUGUGGGGUGCUCGAGUGGCGAACGGGUGAGUAACACGUGAGUAACCUGCCCUUGACUUUGGGAUAACUUCAGGAAACUGGGGCUAAUACCGGAUAGGAGCUCCUGCUGCAUGGUGGGGGUUGGAAAGUUUCGGCGGUUGGGGAUGGACUCGCGGCUUAUCAGCUUGUUGGUGGGGUAGUGGCUUACCAAGGCUUUGACGGGUAGCCGGCCUGAGAGGGUGACCGGCCACAUUGGGACUGAGAUACGGCCCAGACUCGUACGGGAGGCAGCAGUGGGGAAUAUUGCACAAUGGGCGGAAGCCUGAUGCAGCAACGCCGCGUGCGGGAUGACGGCCUUCGGGUUGUAAACCGCUUUCGCCUAUGACGAAGCGUGAGUGACGGUAAUGGGUAAAGAAGCACCGGCUAACUACGUG